Molecule: ribosomal RNA, 253 nt
Filed under: uncultured bacterium
Lineage: Bacteria
Description: partial 16S ribosomal RNA
Rfam family: Bacterial small subunit ribosomal RNA
Source: RNAcentral
UACGUAGGGUCCGAGCGUUGUCCGGAAUUAUUGGGCGUAAAGGGCUCGUAGGCGGUUUGUCGCGUCGGGAGUGAAAUCACCGGGCUUAACUUGGUGCUUGCUUUCGAUACGGGCAGACUGGAGGUAUGCAGGGGAGAACGGAAUUCCUGGUGUAGCGGUGAAAUGCGCAGAUAUCAGGAGGAACACCGGUGGCGAAGGCGGUUCUCUGGGCAUGACCUGACGCUGAGGAGCGAAAGUGUGGGGAGCGAACAGG